RNAcentral lists this ribosomal RNA (2423 nucleotides) under Triticum aestivum (bread wheat). Its description in RNAcentral is "partial small subunit ribosomal RNA". The record is from RNAcentral. Lineage: Eukaryota; Viridiplantae; Streptophyta; Magnoliopsida; Poales; Poaceae.
CCGGUAGUAGCGUACAUACCGCUCACGACAAAACCUUCUUUACUAGUGUGGAAGCAGGAAGUGUCGAAGGAAAGAGACGGUAGUCUACGUGGUUCGAGGUUGCUUCUAUCUGAAAACCUUCAGUUCUACGACAUCACACCAACUUAAUACGGAAAAUAGAGAUACCUAUAAGAAUUCGUGCUGUGAUGGUCUAGACAGACUUUGUUCCCGUACCCACUAGCAAAAGACUUCUGGGUUUUGAAAGGUGUGAAGAAAUCGAGCGUUCAGAAGUCGAAGCAAAAACUUGAGUCUGAACUAACUUAUUUGCUUUCCGUUGUUAAGGUUGAUUUUUUUCGCUUUAGGGCGAAUCCGGGAAUUUUAAUGGUUGUUAGUCGUAAAUAGGUUACCAGCGGUAGCGGUGGAGGAAGAGGCGGCGGCGGCGGCAGCGGCAGCGGGCGGCCUCGAGGGGCCGAGUGGAGGUCGAGCAGCGAGCGGCGGCGGAGGGCAAGACGUGGCGACGGAGGAGAAGGAGGCGCGGUGGACGACGACGCCGCCCGAAACCCACCCGGCUGCGGGAGGCUCAACGGUCGCUUAAGCCCCAGCCGCUACUCAGGCUGGAAAGCCCCAUGAAGGCCUUCCAGCUGUAGACGUUGGCUCCUUACCCACUAUUCCCCCUCAAACACCUCAAGUACCAACUCCUAGUUCACCACCCUAUGUAGGUGUUCCCAAAAUGGCUUGUAGACUCCCUGAAGGUACUACAAAAAUGGUAACAGAGCCCGUUGUUACCGUUCUUGUCACACCUGGUGCACUGAGAGGUGAGUAGCGAGUCCUGAGGUCUUCUAGCUUGUUAGCGGUAGCCUCUACAGUAUUUUCCGGAUCCCCUUGAGUAAAGACCAUAUGCUUUACUCGAGAUAGGUCAUUGGAGUAGAAUGCCGUACGGACACAUAAAGAGAGACCUUGCACGACGACGAGGGAUGAAACCAUAUUUCCGAAUACCACAAGUAUACUUACCCAUGUAACUCUUCGCACCACUUUUUAGAGAAACCUAACCAUUCUCUUCACUACUCUUCGUUUGAAUGGGACCCUACGAUCUAGUAGAACAACGACCACCGGACCAUAGCAAGAAGAAAGGAGAUAAAAGACAAGUUCAGGAAAACAUGAAGUAAUCGCGAAGUUAACUUCUACCCAUUGUCAUCAACGACCUUAGAAUAUACGUAAUCUACUGUUAGAACUUUGAGGAUAAAGUCUUAUAGAUGAGAGAUUAUUAUACAUAUUUAUGAAGGGUAAAAAUAUUAACGGAUCUCUAAAGGUGGUCAAGACCUGUACAAUACUUCUAUUACGACUUACGAGGAGCAUUCUGGAUAUCGGACAUCUGACAGUGACCGGUUAACGAACUUAGUCUUACUAAUUUAAUAAACCUAAAAAGUCCAUGGAUAAGUUAGAUAGAAUCAGAAUUAUUUCAUUAAUAAUAACUUUCUGAUUUAGGUCAGAACGACCCCAAUAGAAAAAAGGAUAUUUUAGUAGACCACUUGUUACAGGAAUCGCGGGGGUAUAAUCAGUUCGGUCCACUGAAGUAUAAAUCUUUUAAUCCGACGAAUUUUACCACUGGAAACCUUAAUAUUAAAAAGUACCUUUACGUCCAAUACCUAAGCUGACCGUCCGAGUUUAGGUAGCCAAUGUCUUCACUACGUGUCAUGGGAAAACUAAAAGUGCACUUUGACAUAUCGACAAUUGAAUGCAACUGAUGUAUACCUUUAAAAGUCGGAAUGCCUUAGAGGACAUUUCUCUUAUAGUAGUUCCUUACACUUCUCCUUCGUCCUUAUGGUUCUAGGUACAGUUGGUUGCGAUGAAGACAACCUCGGCAAAGAAUGUACCUAUAGUUACCCAAAUCUAUGUUUUCCCUACAAGACAAGACGAUACUGGAAUCUGAAGGACAUCUAAAGCAAGGAUUAUUACUUCUACCUCUUCAACUAUCGAAGUCCGAUUAGGGACAUGGUGUACGACGUUUGUAAUAUGCCUCCUGUCUAAAAAAGUUCAGUUUGACGUUGGAACACUAGUAACUGAAGGAGAAGGCAGUACCCAUGUAUUUGGGUCUGACAUUACCCAUGGACUUCGACGACUGUUCAAACUCCUCACCACUAACAAGGAUCCCGAACGUCAAGAGACAAGUUUGUCUUCUUAGUCUAAUGGUCGUAAUUAGCGACUAAAAAACCUCGGACUUCGACUUGUGGCGCACGCGAGAGUAGGUCGUCUUACCUUCAAGCUCUAGUGAGAAAUACUUCGACAUAACUCGAAGCUGAUUAGUUCGGUAUACGAACUGUUACACGAAUAAACAAAAUCGUAGUUAACGAAUUACGAAAAGGUAUCCACGUAUAUAUUCAUCGAAAUUAUUUAUUUAUGACGAGGGAAGCCGAGUUUAAUUAACUGCUCUGAUAUGUUACCGG